Molecule: ribosomal RNA, 249 nt
Filed under: Triticum aestivum (bread wheat)
Lineage: Eukaryota; Viridiplantae; Streptophyta; Magnoliopsida; Poales; Poaceae
Description: partial small subunit ribosomal RNA
Source: RNAcentral
UCGCAGGAAGAUUCGUUGAACAAGAAGCUGAAGUACAUGAAUCUGAGGGAGGAGGAGGAGGAAGACGUGGUUUUAGAGGAGGGUUUGGAAGAGCUAGAGAAGGAUGCUGAAUUCAUGGCGUUGGCUAGGGUCCAUACUAACAAAAAGUUCAGUCAUGGUGCUUUCUAUGGCAAUAUGAGAUCGGCUUGGAACCUAGAGCAAGAAGUGCAGUUUAGGGCAAUAGAGGAUAACCUGUUUUCAGUACAGAUG